This 215-nucleotide long non-coding RNA is filed under the name Brassica rapa (field mustard). RNAcentral describes it as "long non-coding RNA (BRAP_LNC002305)". The record is from RNAcentral. Lineage: Eukaryota; Viridiplantae; Streptophyta; Magnoliopsida; Brassicales; Brassicaceae.
UUACCUUCUAUAGGGAAUGAGUAGAGGGAGAUGCUCCCUCCUCGUCGUCCUCAGGUGGUAACUCUUCAAGGUGCUCAUCAGCAGGAGUGCCCAUCUCUUCAAUGUAGAAGGCUUGCCCGAACACAGUUGGUUGCCUCAUUUUCCUCUUGAUGUCAAAGUGGAGGAUGUUCUCUUUACCCAAAUGGAGAUCAAUCGUGCCCUCCUUCACAUUAACA